UGGGGAAUAUUGCACAAUGGAGGGAACUCUGAUGCAGCGACGCCGCGUGAACGAAGAAGGCUUUCGAGUCGUAAAGUUCUUUUAUAGGGGAAGAUAAUGACGGUACCAUAAGAAAAAGCCCCGGCUAACUACGUGCCAGCAGCCGCGGUAAUACGUAGGGGGCUAGCGUUGUCCGGAAUCACUGGGCGUAAAGGGUUCGCAGGCGGAAAUGCAAGUCAGGUGUAAAAGGCAGUAGCUUAACUACUGUAAGCAUUUGAAACUGCAUAUCUUGAGAAGAGUAGAGGUAAGUGGAAUUUUUAGUGUAGCGGUGAAAUGCGUAGAUAUUAAAAAGAAUACCGGUGGCGAAGGCGACUUACUGGGCUCAUUCUGACGCUGAGGAACGAAAGCGUGGGUAGCAAACAGG
This 403-nucleotide ribosomal RNA is filed under the name bacterium. Its description in RNAcentral is "partial 16S ribosomal RNA". It matches the Rfam family "Bacterial small subunit ribosomal RNA", at positions 355 to 776 of the family's 1533-position model. RNAcentral also lists the same sequence under 2 other names. The record is from RNAcentral.